Molecule: transfer-messenger RNA, 356 nt
Filed under: Devosia sp.
Lineage: Bacteria; Pseudomonadati; Pseudomonadota; Alphaproteobacteria; Hyphomicrobiales; Devosiaceae
Also listed under: 1 other name
Rfam family: Alphaproteobacteria transfer-messenger RNA
About the family: Bacterial tmRNA, also known as 10Sa RNA or SsrA, is named for its dual tRNA and mRNA-like properties.
Source: RNAcentral
GGAUUUGCAUCCCUGCCCGGCCAUGCCUAUAUUCAGCCUGCCGGCAACGGCUAUGGCGAUAAAUUGCCAUCGUAAUAAACCCAUUGGACCCGGGGGCAGUACCCGGCGCCUCCACCAUCUCCUCCCCGCCGCGAGGGGAGCCAGUGGGGGCGAAACAGGAUCGACAAGGGCGUAAAGGGUGUGUUUUCGCUCGGCAUGGUUCCGCCGUCAUCGGGCCAUCUCAAUAGUUGCCAACGACAACUAUGCUAAGGUUGCUCUCGCCGCGUAAUGCGGUGCUAGCACCUGAAUCAAAGCCCUCCAGGCUUUAGCGGUUUGGAGGCGGGGUUCGCAGGCACCUGGCAACAGAAGCCUGCACU